UAUGGUUUCCACAUACUCUUCCUUUUCAUUUUCCAGCUGAGCUGUCACUUUCUUUUGGCUUUCAACUUGUCUUCACACUCCUGCACUUUUGUGGCACAACUCUUUGUAGGUAGAGGCCAGGUCUUCAAAGGUUCUCUCAUCAUCAAUUGACUCUUCCUCAGACCCCUAUCUUCUUGUCAAAGCAGUCACAUGGUUUGUAGCUUCUUUUGUUUCACUUUCAUCAGACCAAGAGGCAGCAAGACUCCUCUUUUGUUUCUUGAGGUAAG
Molecule: long non-coding RNA, 266 nt
Filed under: Lathyrus oleraceus (garden pea)
Lineage: Eukaryota; Viridiplantae; Streptophyta; Magnoliopsida; Fabales; Fabaceae
Description: Pisum sativum (pea) long non-coding RNA (PSAT_LNC035467)
Source: RNAcentral